RNAcentral lists this ribosomal RNA (253 nucleotides) under uncultured bacterium. Its description in RNAcentral is "partial 16S ribosomal RNA". It matches the Rfam family "Bacterial small subunit ribosomal RNA", at positions 524 to 776 of the family's 1533-position model. The record is from RNAcentral.
UACGUAGGGUGCGAGCGCUGUCCGGAAUUACUGGGCGUAAAGCGCGUGUAGGCGGCCCGGUAAGUCCGCUGUGAAAGUCCAGGGCUCAACCCUGGGAUGCCGGUGGAUACUGUCGGGCUCGAGACCGGAAGAGGCGAGUGGAAUUCCUGGUGUAGCGGUGAAAUGCGCAGAUAUCAGGAGGAACACCAAUGGCGAAGGCAGCUCGCUGGGACGUGACUGACGCUGAGACGCGAAAGCGUGGGGAGCAAACAGG